AGAGUUUGAUCCUGGCUCAGGAUGAACGCUAGCGGCAGGCCUAACACAUGCAAGUCGAACGGUAACAGAGAAAAGCUUGCUUUUUUGCUGACGAGUGGCGCACGGGUGAGUAACGCGUAUACAAUCUACCUUUUACAGUGGGAUAGCCCAGAGAAAUUUGGAUUAAUACCGCAUAGUAUUAUUAAUUGGCAUCGAUUGAUAACUUAAAGUUUCGGCGGUAAAAGAUGAGUAUGCGUUCUAUUAGCUAGAUGGUAAGGUAACGGCACACCAUGGCAACGAUAGAUAGGGGCCCUGAGAGGGGGAUCCCCCACACUGGUACUGAGACACGGACCAGACUCCUACGGGAGGCAGCAGUGAGGAAUAUUGGACAAUGGGCGAGCCUGAUCCAGCCAUGCCGCGUGCAGGAAGACUGCCCUAUGGGUUGUAAACUGCUUUUAUACAGGAAGAAACCUCGACGUGUCUGAGCUUGACGGUACUGUAAGAAUAAGGAUCGGCUAACUCCGUGCCAGCAGCCGCGGUAAUACGGAGGAUCCAAGCGUUAUCCGGAAUCAUUGGGUUUAAAGGGUCCGUAGGUGGAUAAUUAAGUCAGGGGUGAAAGUCUGCAGCUCAACUGUAGAAUUGCCUUUGAUACUGGUUAUCUUGAAUUAUUGUGAAGUGGUUAGAAUAUGUAGUGUAGCGGUGAAAUGCAUAGAUAUUACAUAGAAUACCAAUUGCGAAGGCAGAUCACUAACAAUAUAUUGACACUGAUGGACGAAAGCGUGGGGAGCGAACAGGAUUAGAUACCCUGGUAGUCCACGCCGUAAACGAUGGAUACUAGCUGUUCGGUUUUCGGACUGAGUGGCUAAGCGAAAGUGAUAAGUAUCCCACCU
RNAcentral lists this ribosomal RNA (869 nucleotides) under bioreactor metagenome. Its description in RNAcentral is "bacterial SSU rRNA". It matches the Rfam family "Bacterial small subunit ribosomal RNA", at positions 9 to 873 of the family's 1533-position model. The record is from RNAcentral.